This 468-nucleotide ribosomal RNA is filed under the name uncultured bacterium. RNAcentral describes it as "partial 16S ribosomal RNA". It matches the Rfam family "Bacterial small subunit ribosomal RNA", at positions 28 to 507 of the family's 1533-position model. The record is from RNAcentral.
GACGAACGCUGGCGGCGUGCUUAACACAUGCAAGUCGAACGGAAAGGCCCUGCUUGUGUGGGGUGCUCGAGUGGCGAACGGGUGAGUAACACGUGAGUAACCUGCCCUUGACUUUGGGAUAACUUCAGGAAACUGGGGCUAAUACCGGAUAGGAGCUCCUGCUGCAUGGUGGGGGUUGGAAAGUUUCGGCGGUUGGGGAUGGACUCGCGGCUUUUCAGCUUGUUGGUGGGGUAGUGGCUUACCAAGGCUUUGACGGGUAGCCGGCCUGAGAGGGUGACCGGCCACGUUGGGAGUGAGAUACGGCCCCGGGUCCUACGGGUGGGAGCAGUGGGGAAUAUUGCGGAAUGGGCGGAAGCCUGAUGCAGGAACGCCGCGUGGGGGAUGACGGCCUUCGGGUUGUAAACCGCUUUCGAAUGUGACGAAGCGUGAGUGACGGUAAUGGGUAAAGAAGCACCGGCUAACUACGUG